Molecule: long non-coding RNA, 1166 nt
Organism: Cryptotermes secundus
Lineage: Eukaryota; Metazoa; Arthropoda; Insecta; Blattodea; Kalotermitidae
Exons: 4
Source: RefSeq, a predicted model, not a curated record
UAUAUAUCUGAACGCAGUUCAUUCCACAUUUAUUUUAAUCAUAUUAAAAAGGAAGCCAAAACUUAUCGUGAACGUAAUUCUAAAAAAUCUAAUUUGUUACAGAAAGAGAAACUUUUUCAGACGAUUCCAUAGUUGUGCUACAAGCGAUGAUUUGAUUACGUAUUGUGGAUCUUCUCACUGUAGAUGAUGAAAAGGUUGGGCAUCGCGAGCGCUACAGUGGUCCAACUUCAGACUUCAAAGAGGAGGAGGAGGAGGGCUACAGACCACAUGUUUAACUCGACUACACAGAUGGUAACGGACAUGUGCUUAAUGCAAAGGAGACUUUCAGAUACCUGUCUCAUAAAUUUCAUGGAAACAGACCUGGCAGAAAUAAAGCAGAGAAAUGAAUGAAGAAGAAUGAACAGGAAGGAGGCAACCAUCUGAAAAAGAAAACUGCAGAUUCUUCAUGAAAUAUGCUGGCACCAACUCUGAACUUUAUCGUGGACUUAUGUUUUUAUUGUUUCUUACUGUCUGGAAUAUCAUCUCUAUUUUUUAAAUAAGACACAGCUUGCAGCUGCUGACAGUGCCUAUGUGUACUGGAAGGAAGGCCACAGAGUUCAUGUCACAUUCAAAUGUGUACAGUGGUUCUCCUGCUUCCUUAGGUAACCUGUUGGCACCUGUAAGCUGAAAAGUACAAUUUCUAGUGAUUAGUUGCUUGCUUAUAGGACUUGAGCCAGAUGAACUGCCUCUAAGCUAAAUCAGACAUGAAGUAAUUAUAUUUGGCCUUUCUUGAUUGCAAUAGCAAUUUUGUAUCCUUCCAAGGAAAGAAAGAAACCCUUGUUCAAUUGUAGGCCAGUAUGAAAAUCUGUAACAUUAUACAAGCAACAGAAUCAGAAGGUGUACAGUCUACUGCAAAUCAUUGUAAAGCACCACUGAUAUAUCACUGAAACAUUUGUAAUGGGUUAUAAAAGUAACUUGGUUCAUCCUGGUCCAUCACACUAGUAAUUGUAAAUAAGGUUUUAACCACUGUCCAGUGUGAUUGAUAAAAGUUGUUUUUAAUUUUUCAUCCUUUACAUGUUUCAGAAGGAUAUUAUCAACACGUAUGAAAACUACUGUUACAUGUUAUACAUAUGCUAUAUCUUUUAACUAAUAUUAAGAUGUACAUUGAUUUGUUAAAACAUCUAACA